Molecule: long non-coding RNA, 1047 nt
Organism: Drosophila obscura
Lineage: Eukaryota; Metazoa; Arthropoda; Insecta; Diptera; Drosophilidae
Exons: 3
Source: RefSeq, a predicted model, not a curated record
UUUAGUCCAAAGUUGAGAAUGUCUUCUGGAUAGAGGACGGGCUGUUGCGUGGCUAGGAAAAAAUGCAUGAAUUAUACUACGGAGAAGAACAGCAAGAACAUAAGUUAGCUAUAGCUAAAAACAGAGAGUUAAUACCAUCAAUACUAAUGAUAUUGUGGGUACACAAUAUUUGUUACUUUUUCGUAUUUGAAUCAAUUUGUAAUGGGCGCGAAAAUUGCAAAUGAUAUCGAUAUAAAUGUCAGUGCUGUAAAGCGGCCUUCCUUUCCGGAUUUUUGUUUCUCGCUCGAAGCGGUCACACUUUGUAUAAAUAUUCAAAUUCGCGAACAAAAUUUAAUUUUAUUAUUUGAACGAUUCUAUAUAUAGCCAAUAUCAUUCCUGCUCAGCUAUUGGAUAUCCUCGUUGCUGAUUGCGGUUGCUCUUACUCUGCCAUAUGGAGAGCACCUGAACAUGAACAUGAUGUCAAAGUUCUUGUCGGGAGUCUCAGUCUCUGUCGCCAACUGUAGGGCCAUGUCGAUGCAGGUGCUGCCAUCCACUCUAUUGCUGGUCAUGUCCGCAUCGUUCCUGGAAAAUCGGGCGGACUCCAAUCGUCGCGACGUUCCUGCAAUACAUGGAGAAGGACUUCUGUCCCACCUACAUUUCUGAGGGCAAGCGGGGAUCCCUGGAUCAUCGGCCUGUCUGUACCUGGCUGUAACCAGCUCUGGCAUCAUUUGGGAGUUGAAGAAUGAGAGCAAAAAGCACUUCCCGGCUUCCUGGGCACUCUAGUGAAGUGCGCACCGGACAUGAACGAUGUCGUGUUCCAACUGGCCUUCAUCGAGCGCGAGUAUCAGUUCUUCGGGCAGCAGCAACUGAUCAAUGAGAUAACCUCGUACUGCACGGGCCAGGCACUCAUCCUUGGCCUGGAUAUCCGUGGUAAGGGGUUGGUUAGGUGAUUGGACUUAAAAGGGGCGUAGAGGGCUUGUUCUACGAGCCAUUACAGGGGCCUAUACAAGGGCCUGAUGAAUUCGCUGAAGGUGUGGUCGUGGGCGUUAAGUCCCAGUUCGUGAACAC